This 76-nucleotide small nuclear RNA is filed under the name Homo sapiens (human). RNAcentral describes it as "partial ncRNA". The record is from RNAcentral. Lineage: Eukaryota; Metazoa; Chordata; Mammalia; Primates; Hominidae.
AGAUCGCUUGAACCCGGGAGACAGAUGUUGCAGUGAGCUGAGAUCGCACCAUUGCACUCCAGCCUGGGCGACAAGA